GUGGGUCACAUGGUGCAAGAAAUACCGUAUGAAACAACCCGACCGCGACUGAAAAUCGUGAGGUCGCCGGUUCGAUCCCGGCCCUAGCCA
RNAcentral lists this transfer RNA (90 nucleotides) under Candidatus Nanopelagicaceae bacterium. Its description in RNAcentral is "tRNA-Phe". The record is from RNAcentral. Lineage: Bacteria; Bacillati; Actinomycetota; Actinomycetes; Candidatus Nanopelagicales; Candidatus Nanopelagicaceae.